RNAcentral lists this ribosomal RNA (1490 nucleotides) under uncultured Bordetella sp. RNAcentral's name for it is "partial 16S-23S ribosomal RNA intergenic spacer". It matches the Rfam family "Bacterial small subunit ribosomal RNA". The record is from RNAcentral. Lineage: Bacteria; Pseudomonadati; Pseudomonadota; Betaproteobacteria; Burkholderiales; Alcaligenaceae.
GGUUCGAUCUGGCUCAGAUUGAACGCUGGCGGAUGCUUUACACAUACAAGUCGAACGGCAGCACGGACUUCGGUCUGGUGGCGAGUGGCGAACAGGUGAGUAAUGUAUCGGAACGUGCCUAGUAGCGGGGGAUAACUACGCGAAAGCGUAGCUAAUACCACAUACGCCCUUCGGGGGAAAGCGGGGGACCUUCGGGCCUCGCACUAUUAGAGCGGCCGAUAUCGGAUUAGCUAGUUGGUGGGGUAACGGCUCGCCAAGGCGACGAUCCGUAGCUGGUUUGAGAGGACGACCAGCCACACUGGGACUGAGACCUGGCCCAGACUCCUACAGGAGGCAGCAGUGAGGAAUUUACGGACAAUGGGGAAACCCUGAUCCAGCCAUCCCGCGUGUGCGAUGAAGGCCUUCGGGUUGUAAAGCACUUUUGGCAGGAAAGAAACGGCACGGGAUAAUACCCCGUGCAACUGACGGUACCUGCAGAAUAAGCACCGGCUAACUAGGUGCCAGCAAUAAUACAGCGGUAAUACGUAAGUGCAAGCGUUAAUCGGAAUUACUGGGCGUAAAGCGUGCGCAGGCGGUUCGGAAAGAAAGAUGUGAAAUCCCAGAGCUUAACUUUUGGAACUGCAUUUUUAACUACCGAGUAGAGUGUGUCCAGAGGGAGGUGGAAUUCCGCGUGUAGCAGUGAAAUGCGUAGAUAUGCGGAGGAACACCGAUGAAGGCAGCCUCCUGGGAUAACACUGACGCUCAUUGCGCAACACGUGGGGAGCAAAAAACGAGUUAGAUACCCUGGUAGUCCGCCUAAACGAUGUCAACUAGCUGUUGGGGCCUUCCAGGCCUUGGUAGCGCAGCUAACGCGUGAAGUUGACCGCCCUGGGAAGUACAGUCGCAAGAUUAAAACUCGAAGGAACAAGCGAGGACCACACAAGCAGAAUGGAUGAUGUGGAUUAAUUCGAUGCAACGCGAAAAACCUUACCUACCCUUGACAUGUCUGGAAUCCCGAAAGAGAUUUGGGAGUGCUCGCAGAGAACCGGAACAGGUGCUGCAUGGCUGUCGUCAGCUCGUGUCGUGAGAUGUUGGGUUAAGUCCCGCAACGAGCGCAACCCUUGUCAUUAGUUACCCCGCGAAGGGCACUCUAAUGAGACUGCCGGUGACAAACCGGAGGAAGGUGGGAUGACGUCAAGUCCUCAUGGCCCUUAUGGUAGGGCUUCACGCACGUCAUACAAUGGUCGGGACAGAGGGUCGCCAACCCGCGAGAGGAGCCAAUCCCAGAAACCCGAUCGUAGUCGGAUCGCAGUCUGCAACUCGACUGCGUGAAGUCGGAAUCGCUAGUAAUCGCGGAUCAGCAUGUCGCGGUGAAUACGUUCCCGGGUCUUGUACACACCGCCCGUCACACCAUGGGAAUUGGGUUUUACCAGAAGUAGUUAGCCUAACCGUAAGGAGGGCGAUUACCACAGUGAGUUCAUGACUGGGGUGAAGUCGUAACAAGGUGGCUU